CUUGUUGAGAUUUAAUAUUCAUCUCUGUUAAUUUAAUUCUGACUGUAUACAUGAGGUGUUCUAUAUCAGAGAUAGAUUUUAUAUUUGUUAGUUUAUAAGUAAUAAGGAUAUUAUUCUCCCUCACCUGAGUUUUUACCCCUAGGGUGAUAUGAUGAAAACCAAAUGGAAACAUCCCUUACAUAUGUAGCUGGACACUCCGUUAGUGAGGGACAGAGAAAAAUAGAUUCUCUCCUUCUACACAGAACAGCUGAGUUCCCUUUCUUCUUCUAAAAGGAGGGAGAAAAACCUUUGCUGUGUACAAGUGAGAUGGAAAGGAUCCUGGGUCUCACUCUGACCUCAUGGAAUGUAUACGCAUCUUGUCAGGGACCACAUAAACCCUGUGUAUCUCUCUGGCUUUUAUGACCUACAGAUGUCUCCAAGGUGCUGGACCUCAUUUUCUUUUGAAAUGUAAAUACAUACCUUCAGAGCUAGGUAAGUCUCUCUGGAAUUCUCUUACCAUCUUAUUCCAGGAUUCCAGGUUUUCAACAGAAUUUAUUCAGAAAGCCCAGAUGGCAUAGAAACAUAAGAAUAUUCUGUCUGCAUUCCACAGCAUCACAAAUGCAGAUUAGAAACAGUGGUGUUUUCAUUAAGGAAGCUUCUGUGAUAUGGUUGGAUUACAUAGUUUAAGACUCUGCCUUUCUGAGGAUCCUGGAGAGUCUAGGAACUGCUUUACAUCCUAUAAUAAAGUCUUUUUCUGUUUAAACUAAACAAAGAUUCUUUUGCAUUUGCAACUAAGAUUCCCAGCUGAUAACAACACCACAUUUAUAUUAUAAAACAGGCAUAUAAAGUUACAUAUUAUUUAAGUAACCAUGAAACAUACAUAUUUAGUAAAACUGAAAAACAUGUCUAAGAAUAAGAAAUACAUUAAAUUCAAGAUCACCUGAUAUUUACUGUGGAGGUUGGGGGAAGAAUUGUGAUUGGUAUGGAGUAAUAGGAAGCACAAGCAUGAUGGUAAUGUUUUAUUUAUUAUGAGUGAAGGGUACAGGCAUAGUCACUAUGUUUAUGAGGUAUAUGUGCUUGUGUACAUAUAUAAUAUAUACAUAUUGCAUAAUAAAUGAUAUUGCAUAAUAAAUAUAAAAAUACUUAAAUGAAAAUCUUUAAGUGCAAACAUAAGCUGCUGCAACAAAGAGCUUCUCAAAUAACUUGGCUUAAAGAAAAACAUGAAUUUAUUCCUCUCUCACAUGAGAAUCCUUAGAGAAACAAUGCAGGUUCUUGGGAUAUCUCUGCUCCACACUGUCAUGCAGGGACUCACAUUUCUUCCCUCCUUAUUACUCCCUCCUCCCACAGGGCACUGUUAUCAUCUGCCUGGUAAGAACACAGAUGUGCAUGUCUCAGCUCACAGAAAGGGAGAAAAAAUCAUAAACGUCCAAGGUUAAAGUAAGACCGAAACCAGGAAGUGACUCACAUCACCCCUAGUCACUUGGCAGUAGAAAGAACUGAUGUCUGUGCCAGACCAGGCUGCAAGGGUGGGUGGGAAAUGUCUUUCCAGCCAGAUAUGUGCCCAGCUCCAAUUUUCUUGCUAGGAAACAAGCAAAGAAAUGGCUUUUGAUGAAAACUAACAGUUUUUUUCCAAAAGGACUUAAUGAGAACUGUGUACAAAAAAUGAUUUAAUGAGACAUAAAUACCAAAGUACAGUUUUCUUUCCUGCUCACAAAUCUCAAAUAUUAUAUCACAUUUAAUCUUAUUUCAGAAGUAAAAUUCUGCAUCUUAAGAGUCAGAAUAACUCCAGAGAUAAACUGUAUCUGACCCUUAGUGUGCAGAAGGACUUUAUGUGAGUAACAAUGUACUUAAGACUUAAAAAGGAAAGUUAAGAGCUUUCAUAAUCCUCUUUAUCGGAACUCAUGCCAUUAUUUACCAGUUUUCUCUAUGAGGAAAUCUAGUUGUCUGCUGUACAAGUCUUUCUCUGGUUUGGCUUGGUUUUAAAUUCACUUUUCAGUUGCAUGUUAUCACUUAUCUUCUCAUAACAAAGAAUGAAGAGGAGGAAAAUUAUCAUUAUUAUUUUUGUAUGUGUUAGAACUUGGGAAAAUCUUCCCCAAAUUAAGAAAAGGUUACAUUGACAACAGUGUGUCUAAAUUAUUCUCCCCAACUAACUACUACUGAUUACUGGCCAUUCUUCUGUAAAAGCAAAGGUUUGCUUAAGCAGAAUUCUAGAUGUUUUGCAAAUUAGUUUGUGCAUUUGGCACAGAUUCUCUCUUCUGAUUUUUAAAUUUUUCUCUGAAUAUUUUUGAAUAAGACAGCUUUUAGAUAGAAAAAUGUGGUUAUUUCCACCUACUCUACUCUUUCAGCUACAAGAGACCCAGAAAGAAAAUCAAAAUAAUAGAGUCCCUCCCACCCCCAUCCCAGUUGACUAGUAAGAUUUCAGUAGGUUGGGACUUAAAUUGGAGUCAUAAUUUUAGGUUUGGGAUCACACAGAUUAAUAAGAUACCAAAGAUUCAGGUUCGACCUGAAAUAUUCCAUAUUAAUAUGUCUUACCAUGACCACUACAACGUAUCUUUCCUUUCAUAUCUUGAUAACAUCAUUUUUCUUCUUUUUAAGGUUGGACAUAAAAUCUUGAUGGAUUUGCAUUUUUUAAAUCAUCUGUUGUUAAUUGUGCCUUCCAAAUUGUUGCAUGUGGGUCAGAUGACAUUUUUGUAUCAUUACUUUUAUGUCUUACGUCCUUGUGCUUUGAUGCUGGACAACUUGGAGCAGUUCCUGGACACUGUUUCUACACUGAGCACCGCUGGGAAAAUCAUUCUCUGGCUCCUUGAGGAGGAAGAGGAAGAACAGCUAUGGGGACUGCCGGCACUCUCGUGGCACAUGGUGUAGAGAAAAUGGAGGUUCCUGUGGCCAGGAUUCCCACCUGACCCCGGUGGGCUCACUCACUGAACACGUGCAGGCAAUGUAUUAUACUGACCGUAUAAAGAGCCCCGCCCAGGGCUCCGGGCUGCGCAGCUGCAGGAAAGCAGAGCCUGGAGUGGUGGCAGCACUGAGGACAGAGACGGCUGCGGCGGCGGAGAGGCCCAGAGGCAGGGACCGGCUUCCUGCAUCCAGACUCGCUCUGGGUGAACAGGAUUCUAGUGCUUGACCUGCCACCGGGGGAGUAAAGUUGGGUAAAAACCCUUUCACUCUAUGAACAUUCCAUUGUCAUUUUUCGGUCUCACCAAAUCAAGAGUGAACUUGCCUGGGACUGAAACCCACUGUUAAAACAAAGGGGAGUCGACUUUAGGAUAAACUGGACACCACAGAAAGCAGACAGACGAGACAGAAAGAUUCUAGACUUUUAUACCCUAAGGCCAGUCCUCACUUGAAGAUUGACCUACCUUUGACCUUUUCAGAUCUCAAGCGAAAAAGUUCCUUCCUUUCCCAGUUUGAGGUAAGUUUUUUAUUAGCUAUAAUACAAAGAACCUGGUACUAUGAAUAUCCUUCACAGUGUGUAAAGGGAUCAUUUUCUCAAAAUCUACUUAAUAUUGGUUAUCAUUAUAUAUUGGCUGAUGUCACAGAAAUCACAUUGUGUCUCAUGUUGAUUUGUAUGGUUUUUUGACUGCUAGUGAAGUUAAACAUAUUGCAUUGGACCAUCAGCACAAUCUAAUU
Non-coding RNA from Manis javanica (Malayan pangolin), 3609 nucleotides. The record is from RefSeq and is a predicted model, not a curated record. NCBI's taxonomy places the organism in Eukaryota, Metazoa, Chordata, Mammalia, Pholidota, Manidae.